This 74-nucleotide transfer RNA is filed under the name Gemmatimonadaceae bacterium. RNAcentral describes it as "tRNA-Ile". It matches the Rfam family "tRNA". From Rfam's summary of the family: Transfer RNA (tRNA) molecules are approximately 80 nucleotides in length. Their secondary structure includes four short double-helical elements and three loops (D, anti-codon, and T loops). Further hydrogen bonds mediate the characteristic L-shaped molecular structure. tRNAs have two regions of fundamental functional importance: the anti-codon, which is responsible for specific mRNA codon recognition, and the 3' end, to which the tRNAs corresponding amino acid is attached (by aminoacyl-tRNA synthetases). tRNAs cope with the degeneracy of the genetic code in two manners: having more than one tRNA (with a specific anti-codon) for a particular amino acid; and 'wobble' base-pairing, i.e. permitting non-standard base-pairing at the 3rd anti-codon position. The record is from RNAcentral. Lineage: Bacteria; Pseudomonadati; Gemmatimonadota; Gemmatimonadia; Gemmatimonadales; Gemmatimonadaceae.
GGGCCGUUAGCUUAGUUGGUCAAAGCACCGGACUCAUAAUCCGAGGAUCGUAGGUUCAAGUCCUACACGGCCCA